Molecule: ribosomal RNA, 1099 nt
Filed under: Staphylococcus aureus H20322
Lineage: Bacteria; Bacillati; Bacillota; Bacilli; Caryophanales; Staphylococcaceae
Description: bacterial SSU rRNA
Rfam family: Bacterial small subunit ribosomal RNA
Source: RNAcentral
AGAGUUUGAUCCUGGCUCAGGAUGAACGCUGGCGGCGUGCCUAAUACAUGCAAGUCGAGCGAACGGACGAGAAGCUUGCUUCUCUGAUGUUAGCGGCGGACGGGUGAGUAACACGUGGAUAACCUACCUAUAAGACUGGGAUAACUUCGGGAAACCGGAGCUAAUACCGGAUAAUAUUUUGAACCGCAUGGUUCAAAAGUGAAAGACGGUCUUGCUGUCACUUAUAGAUGGAUCCGCGCUGCAUUAGCUAGUUGGUAAGGUAACGGCUUACCAAGGCAACGAUGCAUAGCCGACCUGAGAGGGUGAUCGGCCACACUGGAACUGAGACACGGUCCAGACUCCUACGGGAGGCAGCAGUAGGGAAUCUUCCGCAAUGGGCGAAAGCCUGACGGAGCAACGCCGCGUGAGUGAUGAAGGUCUUCGGAUCGUAAAACUCUGUUAUUAGGGAAGAACAUAUGUGUAAGUAACUGUGCACAUCUUGACGGUACCUAAUCAGAAAGCCACGGCUAACUACGUGCCAGCAGCCGCGGUAAUACGUAGGUGGCAAGCGUUAUCCGGAAUUAUUGGGCGUAAAGCGCGCGUAGGCGGUUUUUUAAGUCUGAUGUGAAAGCCCACGGCUCAACCGUGGAGGGUCAUUGGAAACUGGAAAACUUGAGUGCAGAAGAGGAAAGUGGAAUUCCAUGUGUAGCGGUGAAAUGCGCAGAGAUAUGGAGGAACACCAGUGGCGAAGGCGACUUUCUGGUCUGUAACUGACGCUGAUGUGCGAAAGCGUGGGGAUCAAACAGGAUUAGAUACCCUGGUAGUCCACGCCGUAAACGAUGAGUGCUAAGUGUUAGGGGGUUUCCGCCCCUUAGUGCUGCAGCUAACGCAUUAAGCACUCCGCCUGGGGAGUACGACCGCAAGGUUGAAACUCAAAGGAAUUGACGGGGACCCGCACAAGCGGUGGAGCAUGUGGUUUAAUUCGAAGCAACGCGAAGAACCUUACCAAAUCUUGACAUCCUUUGACAACUCUAGAGAUAGAGCUUUCCCCUUCGGGGGACAAAGUGACAGGUGGUGCAUGGUUGUCGUCAGCUCGUGUCGUGAGAUGUUGGGUUAAGUC